Molecule: long non-coding RNA, 2329 nt
Filed under: Malus domestica (apple)
Lineage: Eukaryota; Viridiplantae; Streptophyta; Magnoliopsida; Rosales; Rosaceae
Description: long non-coding RNA (MDOM_LNC000217)
Source: RNAcentral
GACGGCUUCAAACAACAAUCUUUGCCCUUUAUUACUAGAUUAGUUUAACAUGUGAAAUGUCCAUAAAGUAUCAACAUAUGAUUCGUUUUAGGGCACAUUUCCAACAAUCUCCCACUUGCACUAGAGCCAAUUAGCUUGGUCAUCAGUGAUGAUACCUCUUUUGAAUUUAUUUCAUAAAUGGCUGAGUAGUAAGCCUAGACAAUGGAUAUCUAUAUGUUAUCCAUAGAAGCAACCCUGAGAAUAACGACGUCAUCAUCAUACAUGAUUCCCAAUCAUGUGGUUCAGUCUCUCAUUUAAGUUCGGAUCUUGAUGAGCUAUCGCCCCAUUAGUGUCAUAGUGUCGAUACACUAGAGACACUUUCUGAUUGGAAUCGAAUGGAGAGUUCAUAAACUUUCCCAUCCAAACAACAUUGUUGUAAGCUUCUAUAUGGCGAUAUAUUUUGCAUGUAUGAUGGAACACGAUAAGUCAUUACUUAUAACGUUUCCAUCCAAAUAUCUCUUUUAGUCAUAAUAAAGAGAUAUCCAAUUAUCUCUUCAUUCAAAAUGAAGAGACAUCCAAUGAUGGAUAUGAUAUUAGAUUCAUAAUCUAAUACAUUUACGCUUCCAUUGCGUUACUCUAAUUCUUCCUCAUUCUUGAGGAAUCUAUCCUUGAGUAUUUCUUAAAUACUUAAGGACUCACUUGACAGUUGCCAUGGUUCUGAUCCUGGGCUUGCAUUAAUAUCGGCUUGUACUGUUCUUGGUACAACUCAUAUCAAUGUUUUUCAUACAAUAUGAAAUGCGUAAAUCACCUUUCUGUGUAUGCAUAAAGGAUUCUAUUUACACAUUAUGUUUCUUUGGGAGUCAAAGGGUACAUUCCCUUUGAGAAGAGCAACUUCCUAGUCUCACUAGAGUUGUCCUUCUGAUUGAAGUUUAUCAUCAUAUGAGAAACUUCCUAGCAUCUUUUGUCUAUCAUUAGGGCUUGAUAUAAUCCAAUUAUAUCCUGAAAUCUAUCAUUAUAAAUUUCCAUCCCAUGUAUAUAGACUAUGUCUCCCAUAUAUAUUCUAUCGUUAUAGAAUGUUUAAAAUCAUAACUUUAACGAAGAAGAAUUCCUAAAAUUAAUAUAUCAUAUAUAUGUUCAAAUUUAGGAAUAUGAUUAACUCCCACUAAUCUUUUGUAAACCUAGUAAACAAAUGAUUCAUUUACAUCUUUAUGAGAAAUCAAUCAAAAAUCAUAACUUUAACGAAGAAGAAUUCCUAAAAUUAAUAUAUCAUAUAUAUGUUCAAAUUUAGGAAUAUGAUUAACUCCCACUAAUCUUUUGUAAACCUAGUAAACAAAUGAUUCAUUUACAUCUUUAUGAGAAAUCAAUCAAUUUGAUCUUUCUCUCAUAAAAUGCUUAUAGCUCCCACUAGCUUGCUAAGAUUCAUGAUGGAUGGAUCUCUACAACUUACGUGUCUUGUGGUUCCUAGACAAUCUUGAUAACGGUUUCGGAAACCCAUAUUGUGUCCAAACAUUGAAUCACCAUUUAGCUGUAGCUAGCAAUCUUGAAAUUAAUUUAAACCAAGACUACAUCAAAGAUGGUUUCUUCCAAGUCAACCAAUCUCGUUGAUUGUAGUCACCUUAAGCUAGCAUUUAGCUAUUUAGGUUUCAUUAUUUCGGGUCAAAUGGUACUGUACCAUUUCCUUGAGUAUAUGUUAUAUAUACACUCAAUGUAGUCAUAAGGAUUUUCAUUCUUAUUUCUUUCGAAUUAAGAGGUGUAACUCUAUGACAUAGUCAUAAAGUUCAAACCAUUCAACUGAGACGGUUUAUAUAUCCUUCUCGACUACCUUGGAGCUUGUGGUGUAGGAACUAGGUUGUUAUAUUUGUUGAUUAUUAUCUUGUCUUUCAAAGAACCCAUUGUAGAGUUAUAUCUCUUGUUCAUUUGCUCUAUCUUAGGCAAAUCCUAGUGUAGGAUUACAAUGAACUACCCAACAAACAACAUUUGUUAGUUGGUUUGUAGAAGUGAUAUCCAAAGGUUAAUAUAAGGAUAUCACACAAGAUUGUUCUAAAAACAUAUUGCUUAUUAGCACACAACCUGAAAUCUUAACACGCUUCUUUCCAACUACAUCCUAUGGAGUCAUGAAAAUUUUGGAAGAUCUUCUAAUUGACAAUCAUAUUGUUUUAGAAGUAUAUAUCCUAUAUAUGGGUAAUUGAUAACAUCCAACGAACUAAAUCUUAUUCGAGUUCGUUCUUUUCCCAAUGGAGAAAUCCAUUAUCUUAUGAUGCUACUUGUUGAACAAAAAAAUAAUAAUAAAAAAAAAUUAAAGAGAAGUUUGCAAACAAACAAACUUCUCAAAAGACAAAGGAAAGGUAGC